UACGGGGGGGGCAAGCGUUGUUCGGAAUUACUGGGCGUAAAGGGCUCGUAGGCGGCCAACUAAGUCGGACGUGAAAUCCCUCGGCUUAACCGGGGAACUGCGUCUGAUACUGGAUGGCUUGAGUUCGGGAGAGGGAUGCGGAAUUCCAGGUGUAGCGGUGAAAUGCGUAGAUAUCUGGAGGAACACCGGUGGCGAAGGCGGCAUCCUGGACCGACACUGACGCUGAGGAGCGAAAGCCAGGGGAGCAAACGGG
RNAcentral lists this ribosomal RNA (253 nucleotides) under uncultured bacterium. RNAcentral's name for it is "partial 16S ribosomal RNA". It matches the Rfam family "Bacterial small subunit ribosomal RNA", at positions 524 to 776 of the family's 1533-position model. The record is from RNAcentral.